Molecule: long non-coding RNA, 479 nt
Filed under: Ovis aries (sheep)
Lineage: Eukaryota; Metazoa; Chordata; Mammalia; Artiodactyla; Bovidae
Description: lncRNA (ENSOARG00000026978.1)
Source: RNAcentral
AUGUGGCUGAGGAGGGUGAUGAAGAAGGAGAAACCUCAGCAAAAAGCAUUGGCAGGAGGAUUCUUUACCACUGAACCACCUGGGAAGCCCUCAAGUACAAAGGCACAGGAUCCAAUGGAACCAGCUUUUGGAGCAAAUGGAAAGUUGAAUAUUAGCAGUGCAAGUUAAUUCCUCCUGGCUCUAUUUAACCAGGUCUUCAAGAAAAAUGAGCAAGGAAAAGAACUGCAAGAAAGAAAAGGGAUAAGAUUUAUAAAUGAAAUGUGUUUUUAAAUGAGGAAAGUAAAGUAUGAAAAUAUUUAUAUAAAUAAUUUUUGUAAAAUAAAAAAUUUCAAGGAGUCUAUGCAUUCAUAAAAUUAGUUGUAUUUUAUAUAUGUGAGUAAUAAGCAAAGAUGCACAAUGUGGAAGGAUUUUGGUCCUGUCGGUUGCUUUGAUGGAGAAAGAGGUGAUGGAAUUAAGCAAACACAAGAGUAAAAAAAAAA